Long non-coding RNA from Scomber scombrus (Atlantic mackerel), 363 nucleotides. RefSeq lists it as uncharacterized. Lineage: Eukaryota; Metazoa; Chordata; Actinopteri; Scombriformes; Scombridae. The record is from RefSeq and is a predicted model, not a curated record. The transcript is spliced from 3 exons.
GGACUGUUUGGGUUUGAACUUGUUGAUGUUUGUGUUGACAUACAGCAUAUUUUUAACAAUACAGUGUCUGCUGAGUGCAACCACACUCAUAAAUCCUGAGUCUGGAAACAUGAAGUCUGAUUCGUCCUUCUCUGAGGGCGUCUUUGUCACACUGAACUCGUCCUGCAAACUGUCCAACCUGAGACUCUGGGAGCUCAACACCCUCACGUACAUAAUACAGGACUGAGAGCUUGUGAUCAGUGAACAGUCUACAGUAGAUGUUCAGUGAGGUGGAGGAACUGUCAGGUUUGGUUGUAAACAUCCAUUCCAGUGUGAUGUUGUGGUUCUCCUCUGCCUGAUAAGAGGUCUGUGUCACGUUCACAA